CACACUUGUUUUGGCUAAAAAUUUUCUGAACUCAGUCUCGUAAAUCGCAUAGGACUUCUCCUUUUCUACCAAAGUCGAUAGAUUCCAUCUAGGUGCAUCCUACUCCAAACAGCGAACCUAAACCUACUAAAGCCAAUAUACACAGCAAGGACUCGAAUGGCUAGGGACCAAAAGAAUGUGCAGUCAAACCCAGUAGCCUUACUGUGAAUAGCCAAUGACACCAC
This 224-nucleotide long non-coding RNA is filed under the name Elaeis guineensis (African oil palm). Its description in RNAcentral is "long non-coding RNA (EGUI_LNC062208)". The record is from RNAcentral. Lineage: Eukaryota; Viridiplantae; Streptophyta; Magnoliopsida; Arecales; Arecaceae.